AGUGAUUCCUCGUCAAUUAAUGUAAAAACAUGUAUCCGAAUGCGCACUCGCUGGUUUCUCUACUGAUCAUCCCAAAGAAUAUAUCU
Caenorhabditis elegans is the source of this 86-nucleotide non-coding RNA. The record is from Ensembl. NCBI's taxonomy places the organism in Eukaryota, Metazoa, Nematoda, Chromadorea, Rhabditida, Rhabditidae.